UCGAACGGACUCAUAUUGAAACCUAGUGAUUUAUGAGUUAGUGGCGGACGGGUGAGUAACGCGUGGAUAACCUGCCGUAUACCGGGGGAUAACACUUAGAAAUAGGUGCUAAUACCGCAUAAGCGCACGGCUCCGCAUGGGGCAGUGUGAAAAACUCCGGUGGUAUACGAUGGAUCCGCGUCUGAUUAGCUAGUUGGCGGGGUAACGGCCCACCAAGGCAGCGAUCAGUAGCCGGCCUGAGAGGGUGGACGGCCACAUUGGGACUGAGACACGGCCCAAACUCCUACGGGAGGCAGCAGUGGGGAAUAUUGCACAAUGGGGGAAACCCUGAUGCAGCGACGCCGCGUGAGUGAAGAAGUAUCUCGGUACGUAAAGCUCUAUCAGCAGGGAAGAAAAUGACGGUACCUGACUAAGAAGCCCCGGCUAACUACGUGCCAGCAGCCGCGGUAAUACGUAGGGGGCAAGCGUUAUCCGGAUUUACUGGGUGUAAAGGGAGCGUAGACGGCAGCACAAGUCUGGAGUGAAAUCCCGGGGCUU
This 537-nucleotide ribosomal RNA is filed under the name uncultured bacterium. Its description in RNAcentral is "bacterial SSU rRNA". It matches the Rfam family "Bacterial small subunit ribosomal RNA", at positions 62 to 610 of the family's 1533-position model. The record is from RNAcentral.